UACGAAGGGGGCUAGCGUUGCUCGGAAUUACUGGGCGUAAAGGGCGCGUAGGCGGCUUAGUUAGUCAGGCGUGAAAUUCCUGGGCUCAACCUGGGGACUGCGCUUGAUACGGCUAGGCUAGAGGAUGGAAGAGGGUCGCGGAAUUCCCAGUGUAGAGGUGAAAUUCGUAGAUAUUGGGAAGAACACCGGUGGCGAAGGCGGCGACCUGGUCCAUUACUGACGCUGAGGCGCGACAGCGUGGGGGAGCAAACAGG
RNAcentral lists this ribosomal RNA (254 nucleotides) under uncultured bacterium. Its description in RNAcentral is "partial 16S ribosomal RNA". It matches the Rfam family "Bacterial small subunit ribosomal RNA", at positions 524 to 776 of the family's 1533-position model. The record is from RNAcentral.